This is a long non-coding RNA of Coregonus clupeaformis (lake whitefish), 434 nucleotides long. RefSeq lists it as uncharacterized. The record is from RefSeq and is a predicted model, not a curated record. The transcript has 3 exons. Lineage: Eukaryota; Metazoa; Chordata; Actinopteri; Salmoniformes; Salmonidae.
AGAGACAUCUAACCGAUAGAACAUCUCGGCGUUCUAUUGAACGUUUUCUGUUCGAAAACAACAACAACAAACUUGACAGAUUUUUGAGACCUGAGACUGAAAGAUCGACUGGAAAAUGCCUGGGUGCUUUUCAAAAUUGGUGGGGAGAGUGCGUGGACGUCGGCGGUCUACUGCGUCGACAGGUUGUUCAAAUUCAUUUGUGGAUUGUUUUUGUCUUUUUCCGUUUUGCAGGGUUCGCAAUCGUCGGGAGGUGGACAGCGACAUCGACUUCGAAGAGGAAUCAACUGUCCUGGAUGAGGUCCAGUUGGUUGUGCCAUUGGAUGAUGUGCCGGAUGUACCACUGCUGCCAGCCAUCCUUGAGGAGGUGCCAGAUGUGCCGACUAUCCUUGAGGAGGCCACUGGUAAUUGGCAGUUGAUACCGAUUAGGUUUAGCU